UUAAGUGACGAUAGCCUAGGAGAUACACCUGUACCCAUGCCGAACACAGUAGUUAAGCCCUAGAACGCCGGAAGUAGUUGGGGGUUGCCCCCUGU
RNAcentral lists this ribosomal RNA (95 nucleotides) under Streptococcus intermedius. RNAcentral also lists the same sequence under 1 other name. The record is from RNAcentral. Lineage: Bacteria; Bacillati; Bacillota; Bacilli; Lactobacillales; Streptococcaceae.